GUAAAAUGGCUGAAGUUUAAGCAGUAAAUUGUAAAUUUAUAAAUGAAUUUAAUUCUUUUAC
Molecule: transfer RNA, 61 nt
Filed under: Ixodes ovatus
Lineage: Eukaryota; Metazoa; Arthropoda; Arachnida; Ixodida; Ixodidae
Description: tRNA-Tyr
Source: RNAcentral